Molecule: non-coding RNA, 254 nt
Organism: Cinara cedri
Lineage: Eukaryota; Metazoa; Arthropoda; Insecta; Hemiptera; Aphididae
Source: the annotation of a GenBank genome assembly
UCAUAUCAAAUUUCAAUUAUUUCUUUAUAUUUAUAAUAUUAAAUUAUUAUAUGAAUGAUAUAUUCAAGUAACAUCAUGCAUGCUAUUUUACACUCAAACAUUUAAUUUUACUGCGUUCAGUAUAUAUGUAAAGCGAAUGAUUUACUCACUUCAAAAGUUUUAUUUUAAUAAACAAGAUAAAAACAAUACACAACAUAAAAAAAUUCAAGGCUAUGAUUUCAGAAAUGUGUAUUAUUAUUUUGUGUAUCAAUUUU